UCGGUUUUGAAUAUGAUGGUGAGACGGGACCCUGGCAACACUGAACCUGUGAAAGCCAAAGAGGAGCUGACCUUCCCCUGUGGACACAGGCGCGUCCGAGCCUCACCUUUAUUCUCUCAACACACUGCAGCGGACAAACGUAAAUUUCAGAGGUUCCUGACUGCUGCUGCGGCCCUGGUGGUGACAGUAUAUGCUCCAAUCACUUUUCCUUCUGCAUCUGUGCUGCUUUUCAAGCAGAAAAGCAAUGGAAUGCACAGCCUGAUUGCUGCUAUAGGCCAUGUGUUGUCAGUGGAUCCAGACAGAAUGGUGAUCAAGAGAGUUGUUCUGAGUGGUCGUCCUUUCAAAUUUUUUACUAAGAUGGCAGUCACACGUUGUAUGUUCUUCAGUAGAGAGGAUGUGCUGUGGUUUAAAUCAGUGGAAUUGAGAACAAAGUGGGGCCGCAGAGGACACAUCAAGGAGCCUUUAGGUCCUCGUGGUCACAUGAAGUGCAGCUUUGAUGGGAAGCUAAAAUCUCAGGACACAGUACUGAUGAGCCUCUAUAAACAAGUUUUCCCCAAAUGGACUUCUGAUCCACGUGCACCAGAACCACCACUGUGGGUGAAAAGUGAGAUUUCUUCAACAGUGCCUAAAGUGGGUGUGGAGUGAUGGAUUUAAAUAAAUUCUGUUUUGCCGGUGCCAGUUACCAUUCUAGGGAUGACAGUGUACAGGUUGUGAUUGGGCAAAGUUUGUUUUCUCUGUUAGCCUAUCAUCUGCUGUCCUAUUUGCAAAAGACUUUGCAUGGCCUUGACACUGUGUCUCAGUGAAGUAUAAAAGUUUUUCUACUAGUACAUAAUCCAAAAAAUUAUUACAUUUUUACUGAAAUA
Molecule: RNA transcript, 863 nt
Organism: Otolemur garnettii (small-eared galago)
Lineage: Eukaryota; Metazoa; Chordata; Mammalia; Primates; Galagidae
Gene name: pre-rRNA-processing protein TSR1 homolog pseudogene
Exons: 1
Source: RefSeq, a predicted model, not a curated record